RNAcentral lists this ribosomal RNA (64 nucleotides) under Aspergillus fumigatus. Its description in RNAcentral is "partial 28S ribosomal RNA". The record is from RNAcentral. Lineage: Eukaryota; Fungi; Ascomycota; Eurotiomycetes; Eurotiales; Aspergillaceae.
GUUGACCUCGGAUCAGGUAGGGAUACCCGCUGAACUUAAGCAUUUAAAGAGGAAAGAGAGAAAC